UAGUACGGCGAGUGAAGAGGGAAGAGCCCAAGAUUGAAAGCUGGCGUCUUCGGCGUCCGCAUUGUAAUCUCAAGAAGUGUUUUCCGCUUCGGACCAAGCCUAAGUCCCUUGGAAAAGGGCAUCAUAGAGGGUGAUAAUCCCGUACAUGGCUUGGAGCGCCCGAAGCUUUGUGAUACGCUUUCUAAGAGUCGAGUUGUUUGGGAAUGCAGCUCAAAAUGGGUGGUAAAUGCCAUCUAAGGCUAAAUAUUGGGGAGAGACCGAUAGCGAACAAGUACAGUGAUGGAAAGAUGAAAAGAACUUUGAAAAGAGAGUUAAACAGUACGUGAAAUUGCCAAAAGGGAAGGGUAGGAGGUCAGAGAUGCGGCCUGGGAUUCAGCCUUGCUUUUGCUUGGUGUUUUUCCCAGAUUGCAGGCCAACGUCGGUUUUGGGCACUGGAGAAGGGUAGGAGGAACGUGGCACCUCUCGGGGUGUGUUAUAGCCUCCUACUGGAUACAGCGACCGAGACCGAGGACAGCAGCGUACUCGCAAGAGCGGGCCUUCGGGCACCUUUACUCUUAGGGCGUUGGCAUAAUGGCCCUCUACCACCCGUCUUGA
Molecule: ribosomal RNA, 594 nt
Filed under: uncultured Pseudozyma
Lineage: Eukaryota; Fungi; Basidiomycota; Ustilaginomycetes; Ustilaginales; Ustilaginaceae
Description: eukaryotic LSU rRNA
Rfam family: Eukaryotic large subunit ribosomal RNA
Source: RNAcentral